GCAAGUCUGGUGCCAGCAGCCGCGGUAAUUCCAGCUCCAAUAGCGUAUAUUAAAGUUGUUGCAGUUAAAAAGCUCGUAGUUGAACCUUGGGUCUGGCUGGCCGGUCCGCCUCACCGCGAGUACUGGUCCGGCUGGACCUUUCCUUCUGGGGAACCUCAUGGCCUUCACUGGCUGUGGGGGGAACCAGGACUUUUACUGUGAAAAAAUUAGAGUGUUCAAAGCAGGCCUUCGCUCGAAUACAUUAGCAUGGAAUAAUAGAAUAGGACGUGCGGUUCUAUUUUGUUGGUUUCUAGGACCGCCGUAAUGAUUAAUAGGGAUAGUCGGGGGCGUCAGUAUUCAGCUGUCAGAGGUGAAAUUCUUGGAUUUGCUGAAGACUAACUACUGCGAAAGCAUUGCCAA
This 399-nucleotide ribosomal RNA is filed under the name uncultured fungus. RNAcentral describes it as "SSU rRNA". It matches the Rfam family "Eukaryotic small subunit ribosomal RNA", at positions 555 to 961 of the family's 1831-position model. The record is from RNAcentral. Lineage: Eukaryota; Fungi.